Molecule: long non-coding RNA, 3377 nt
Organism: Falco peregrinus (peregrine falcon)
Lineage: Eukaryota; Metazoa; Chordata; Aves; Falconiformes; Falconidae
Exons: 5
Source: RefSeq, a predicted model, not a curated record
GUCUCUCACUUUUGCCUGUAUAUACAACCUUUCUCUUGCUUUUAUAUCUCUAGAAAUGAAGACUGAACAGUCAACUUUUACAAGUGCUAUCCCUUUUUUUCAGGUGACUUUAACUGGAGGCUCAGAGUUCUCAGCUGUGUUACCUAUUACUUACUUAGCUUGUUGUUCAGACUGAAAAAAUCAUUACGUUGGGUGCUAGCAAGUUCUUUGCUUAAGAUGCCUCUUUUUGAACGCACAGUCAUUAAAGUUUAUUCCUUAUACAGAAUUUUUUCUGUGGUUUUGAUACCGAGAGCCUCCAGACUGAAAUAUUAGGGGAAGGGUGGUUUAGAGAAAUAGUUUUGCUAUCAAACCUGUUUGUUAUGUGUGGGGUUUUUUGCUAUCAAAGCUCAAAAUAAACAAAGAUGGGGGUUUAGGUGUGUGCGUUCUGAAGAAUCUAUACAUAGUUUAUAAACCUUAUGACAGUUGAAAAUGUUGUAAGUAGCAGAAGGAUUGCUUAAUGUGGAAGGAAUGUGCUGAGCAAAGAACGCUCAUGCAAGGAAGGGAAGAAUGAAAUCACUUUAAUGAUGUAUACAGUGACUGAGUUAGGAUUGGAAAGGUUAGAGACAGGAGAGAACCUAUUCUGAAGAAGGUCAGAGACUGUAUGGUUUUAGAGAUCUGAAAGCCAGGUGUAGGACUGGUGGGAGUUAUGUCAGUUAAGGUACUGAAGUAGCUGAAAAUAUCUUUUAAGUACAAUCCAGACCUCUGUUCAACUGUUUUUAUGCUUUCAUCUUGAUAAAGAAAAUUAACUUUCUGCUUUGUUAAAGUUAAAUUUGUUUUCACCUAUAAAUCUGUUGGAUGUGGAGAGUAUAUAUUACAAGCCUAAGAUAUGUAGAUUCUCUGGAAGUGAUAAAUGGAAACGGGGUAUUUUGCUCCCUGUGAAGUGAGGCAAAUUUGAGAACCUCAGGGGCUAGGAUGCAGAGUUGACUGAGCAACAAUGAUAACUCUUCAGUGCCAGAUCCUCAGAUGAUCUUCCAUUGCUGUAAGCUAGUAUUGUUCUAGCAGGAGACAAGUAACAGAGAGAAUCUGCAGUUCUGGAUACCAUCAAAUUAUCAGUCUUAUAGCUUGAUGUAGAGGUAAAAAAAUGCAGAAAAGGUGGCUGGUAUUUAAAGUGGGUCUUACAGUCUAACACAGAUGCACAAAGUGACUCCUCACUAUCAAACAGAAUUCAGCUGUGCCUCAUAUCAUUUUUCUAGAAUGUUUUUAUGAGAUAAUGAAAAUGUUGAACUUAGCACUGAAAAUAUCAAUACAGGAUGUUAAUGCAGGGCAUGUAACAUGCUGUUUAUUCACACCCUGUCUUACUGCAGUGACUCCCUGACAUGGAAAAGCUCGGAGUUGCCAUGUCCACUGUUGGGUUCCAUAACAUCUCUAGGCCAGAUCCUUCUGCCUUAUACAUGUGGAGGGAACUCCCUGUAAGACUGCUGUUCCUUGAUGUACAGUAACAUUUGGGAAGAAAAAGUGAUCCUUGGGAAGUAGAACUUUGGAAUGUUAAGAUGUGCAGAAAACAAAGGCAACGGGCUGUGACAACUGUAAUUCCUCAUACUUUUCCUAUCAUUUGUCACCUCUGUUUUGUCAUUACAUACAUCAAUAAAACUAUAUAUAGCUAAGAAAAGACUGUGACUUGUAUGGUGGUUGUUUAUAUGAAUGACACAUUAGAGACCCUUUACUAUCAUUGCUCCCCAGUUUCCUAUGUGUGAAAGAUGUUUUGCUUAAUACUCCACAAUCUGUGUUUUGGGGGACAUUUAUAAAAAAAAAUUCAUUUAUCUCUAAAGGCUGUAAGCUUUGGGAAAUAGUAGUCCAACUGUAGGAGGAAAAUUACUGCUAUAAGAGACAGCAUUAUUCUCCAGAGCUGUGAUGAAAUGAGCUGUAUUUAGCCUUUUACUUGAGGGGAGGUUUAGAAUCAUCGAAUCAUUUAGUUUGGAAAAGACCUUUGAGAUCAGGUCCAACUGUUAACCGAGAACUGCCAAGUCCGUCACUAAACCAUGUCCCUAAGCACUGCAUCUACACGUUUGAUUGAAAAGGCCCUAGGGGGUAAAACUUCAUGAACUGACUGGAUUAACAAAUUAAAGCUGCCAUGUGGUCAGGUAAGCCCUAGAACUUUUUCUUGUGCUUCAGAAUACUGUAGAGUGAAAAGCAGGACUGCGCCUUUCACUAACACCAAGACAAUUAAUCACCUUAGCCAUAUAUAAUCUAACCAAAUCUUUGGUGACCUACAGACCAGUCUUACUAAGACAUGAAUCAUCUUUGUGCCAAAACAGUCUGAUAUAGAAUAUAUAUCAUUACAUUUGAGUGGCAAAAUAAUUUAGGAAUCACAAUAUUAACACUUGUUAUUAGCAAUUAGGAAUCACAGUAUUAACACAUGCAUAUCAUACGGCAGAUGUAUUAAAGUACAAUGACAGCAUGCUGUAUUGGAGAAAGAGGUAUUUUGCAUACACAAGAAAAGCUAUUGCCCAUAAGUAAAACCAGAUGCACCUCUGGACUAGGAAAACAGAGGAAAGAAUUUAACAGCAAAAAGUAAAGUAGUCAUGAAGACUCUAACAGUACUACCUACAGUAGAAGUUCUAUCACGUAGUUCCUUUCAUUGUUAAUUGUCUCUCAAAGUAAUGUCAAGUCUUCCACUCCUCUCUUUAAUAUUUUUCCCAGAAAUCCUAUAUUUGGGUUACAUCUACUGGGAAGCAUCCCUGCCUCAAGGUGAAACUUGCGUCAAUAGAUCAUCUUAAAAAUGUCCCAUAUAACAGCACUGAGUUUACAGUAUGCCUUGAGAAUCUUCUUUUUAUUUUUUUUUAAUAUUAUCAUCAGGACUAUACAAUUUCUUCCAAACAACUGCCAGUGUUGCUCUGUCAAAACAUGGGCAGAGAGAGGGUUAUGGAAAGGGAAAGAAUGUACAUUGCUUGGAGGACAUAAAACUGUACAAAGUUACCAUCAUCUACUUGCUUCCGUUACCAGUCUGAACUGCUCUGUAUUACCAGUGACACCCUCAGCAAGGGCAGCAGCUGUGGGUUCUUUUUACUGAAUAUAUCACUUCAGCUACUUUUUCACAAAUGCUAGUUUCGUAAUCUGCUUGAGCAAAACAAUGUUGGUUUAAUCAUAUGAGUUUCAAACUUAGAAAUAGAAUGUGUAUUUUACACCUCACUGAAAUGCUAUUCCUUUUCUUCUUUUUCUUUCUGGCUUUUUCAGAUCAUCCAGAAAGAUGUUGUGAAAGAAAAACACAGGUCCACAUCAUGAACUUACAGUUCUUUGUUUCAUCAGGCCAUCCUAAACAGAUUCAGACCAGUCCAGGCUACCUUAGACUUACGGAAACGGGUAUGAAGGAAGUUGUCUGAAGUUGUAGAAUAGGUCAG